This 2713-nucleotide non-coding RNA is filed under the name Pan troglodytes (chimpanzee). Lineage: Eukaryota; Metazoa; Chordata; Mammalia; Primates; Hominidae. The record is from RNAcentral.
UUUUUUAACUUUUUUUAUUUAAAUAAGGAGAAUUCUUUCAUAUGGAAAGAGCUAGUACAAUCACAUAUUUGAAAGGAGAAACAAUAGGUACUGAACCGGAGGGAAAGGGCGAGGGUGAGUGUGCCAGCACCGGCCUGGUGAAUCCACGAUUCCAUUUCCCAUCCAAGGUAAGUUUCCCGAAAUAACGUAUAAACAAGCUGCACAUUACACCUCUAGCCAUCGUCUGCCCUUUCAAAUAUCUGGUCUACAUGGAAAGACAAAGAGGAAAGGCCAAAACAUAAACAAAAGGAAACAAAAACAAAACACAACCCUCUCAGGAACCAAACAAAACCCCCAAAUCCUUUUUUACUACACAAGGCAUGAGGUCAAAAGCUUGAGUACAGUGUCCCCUUUAGAUCAUGGGAGAAAGGCGUCCACACAGAGCCUUAGCAGGAAUUUCCACUCUGAGGCUUCAGAACAUGCUGAAGAUGGGGCUCUGAGGGUGCCACUACCAUCCUGGAGGCCACCAAGUGGGGUGGAGACAGUGAAGAGCAGGUCUCACAUGCCCGAAGACCACCAGCCAAAUACACAUUGGUGGCCCUGGUGGAGCAUGGCUGGGCGACAGUGUCCAUCCCCAACACUGAGCCACUCCUGUCCUGGAUGACUUCCUGCUUAGGUCCGUCACAUUUCAGAAGAGAGCUGGCUUUCUGGAAGCCUACGUUUCCCAUUCAUCACAGAACACGACAGAGUGCACACAUCCUGGUAUCCUUGGUCUUCAAAGGCCAUUUCCAGCAGACCCUCUAACCCAGGCUUGCUCUGCAGGAAGUGAAAAGGGACAAAUGAAGAUGUGAGGGGCAGCCUGCAGCUACUUGGCAGAGGGGAACCAAAUGGCAAGGGAGAAGGCUCCACCAGAGCUGCCAUGCUGCCGUAGCAGGCCAGACCACAGCAUGGCCGUGCACCUGUGUGUGCUCAGCUUCCAGAAGCCGUCACUGACCAUCCCGAAGGCAGAUCCAGAAGAUAGGAGGGUGACAGCACGGCUGGAGAGCACUGAUGUCAGCGUUUAACAGGGUUCCCCAGUGUCCCUAGAAGUGGCUGGAAGGACCACAGCUUUGGAACUGAACUGAUUUUCUUGAAUGUGAAAUAAAGUCAUCUUUUGUUUUCCCCCCUAAGGAACCUAGAGCCAGAGUGUCUAUGAAUUCCAAGUUUGAAAACAAUACGAAUGUUUAAAAAAAAAAAAAAAAGCUGUGGGGAGAAGCCAACAGUUAAGAAAACCAAAUCAAAUGCAGCUGGCAUUGCAGUCCCCAGUGGGUGGGUGGGCAUUUGAGAUGUACACCCACACUCUGGGCUUCAUCCCACUCUAGUGGACGGUGGACAAUACCGCAAGGCCACUGGUUGCUGAGCAACGAGCCGCAUCCCCAAUGACCAAGGCAGAGCUGCCAGCGUCAGGAGGGCAACUUUAACAGGCCAAAGUGAGUGGGUUCUGACCCCCCAAUCCCUACCUCAGCAGCAGGAAAGGGAAGUGCUGGUCUCCACCUGUUCCCACUAAGGCCCCGUGGUAUCCUGGCAGAAGCCUCUGCAUGUAUCUGCGCUCUGACGAUGGGGGUUUGAAAACAAAAUAAGACCCUACGUCCUACUACCUUGAGCUUGGCUCUAAAACCACGGGAAAGGAAGAGAUAUAUUGCACCUUAAAACGUCUCUGCACUAAGAACUGCAUUUCAUUAGACCAAGGAGGGGUUGGGGCGCUGGGAGGCCUGAGGCCUGCCCUCAGCCCCCCAAGUCUGAUUUAAAACCUGCAUCUCAGCGAAGAGACUGCAGCUCAGGUCACACAGAGGUGGUGACUGCACCGAACUUCACAUGCAAUUUCCUGGCCUUUCCUGCACAGAAUUAAUUCAGACAUUAUAUAUAAAUAGAGCAGUGAAACAUUUACUUCUUUUUUUUUCACCUAGACCUACAACAUCAAUACAUAUAAAUAAAUUCUAGUGUUUUUUGUUUUUUUAUUUGGGGUGGGGGAGGAGAAAGGAAGGAAAUACCAGGUAAGAGAAAAGGGCUGGAGAACAGGUGACCUUUUUGUUUUUAUUUUUUCUCAAACAGCAAGUACUGUGGGUCUGAUGCCAGGUUCACCUGAAGGGUACAUCUUAACAGCAUCCAGAAGGCUUUCUUUUUGACAAAUCACACGCACCACCGCGUCAGGUGGGAGGGGUCUGGCCAUGCGGCUCAAGUGUCCAGGUGGAGAUGAAUGUGUGGCUCCCGCAGGCCUGGACUCACCCAGGAAUGGCUUGGCAAGGAGGGCUGGUGGGGACAGAGAGGGCUCAUCCCAGGCCCCACAAGCAGCCGCUUGCAGUGGGAGAAGGAAAAGCAGACAAGAAGCUCAGGUAGGGAAUGCCUGGAACUGUCGGGUGGGCAGCCCCUGGGGAAGGGACUCAAGCAUAAAGGCUUGGGAUAAAGAGGGAAAAGACCAGGUGAGGGCAGGAGGGGAGCUGCUGAAAGAUGCAGGUGAACAGUAAAGCACCUUUCAGUAAAACUGCCCUUUCCCAGGCAGCUCUGGGGUGGGCGCUGUUGGUAGGAGGCCGUUCUCCUGCUUCCUUAGAAUUGUGAGAGCAGUAAGAAGUUACUUCAGCAGUUCCUAAGAUGCUCCUUCCCCAUGUUCUACACUAGACACAGAGCUUAGAGCCCAAGCCUGAGCGCUGUCCUGCACCCGUGAGACGCUGAAGGCAGCCUCUGGUGGGAGGUGCAU